UCUCCUGAGGUCCUGGCACCUUGCAAUAGUUUGGAAGCAUGCAGUUUUGACCCAAACGUUCCACCACUGGAAAGAACUGACAGCAUAUUUGACCCCAAAUAUAUGGCUGGACAUGGCAAGAUGAAUCCUCUGCUACAGAGAGCUCAAAGAGGAGGAGUUGGACACCUGCAGAAGUGUGUGCAGAGGAAAAGACUCUAAAGGUGUUCAUAGACGGUGGAAAAGUUCCCAGGAAAGCAGACUGUGUGGCUUGCAUCAAGGCCUCACCACAAGAGCUGAAGUCAAGAACCUGGAAGGCUGUUAAGUACUAUGUUAAGAACCGAAUAACAGCAGUUCAGCGUGAAGGAGCAAGACGGUAUUAAAGAUUUUCUCAGGCUUUUGUUUU
Long non-coding RNA from Sphaeramia orbicularis (orbiculate cardinalfish), 382 nucleotides. RefSeq lists it as uncharacterized. The record is from RefSeq and is a predicted model, not a curated record. The transcript is spliced from 4 exons. Lineage: Eukaryota; Metazoa; Chordata; Actinopteri; Kurtiformes; Apogonidae.